Molecule: ribosomal RNA, 513 nt
Filed under: uncultured bacterium
Lineage: Bacteria
Description: bacterial SSU rRNA
Rfam family: Bacterial small subunit ribosomal RNA
Source: RNAcentral
AACGCUGGCGGCGUGCCUAAUACAUGCAAGUCGAACGGCUUUCAUGGAAGCUUGCUUCCACUGAGAAGAUAGUGGCGAAACGGGUGAGUAACACGUGGGUAACCUGCCCAUAAGAGGGGGAUAACAUCCGGAAACGGGUGCUAAUACCGCAUAGUUUACUUGAUCGCAUGAUUGAGAAAGGAAAGAUGGCCUUUGUGCUGUCGCUUAUGGAUGGACCCGCGGCGUAUUAGUUAGUUGGUGAGGUAACGGCUCACCAAGACGAUGAUACGUAGCCGACCUGAGAGGGUGAUCGGCCACAUUGGGACUGAGACACGGCCCAAACUCCUACGGGAGGCAGCAGUAGGGAAUCUUCCGCAAUGGACGAAAGUCUGACGGAGCAACGCCGCGUGAGUGAAGAAAAGGUUUUCGGAUCGUAAAACUCUGUUGUCAGAGAAGAACAAGUUGGAGAGUAACUGCUCCAGCCUUGACCGGUAUCUGACCAGAAGCCACGGCUAACUACGUGCCAGCCGCGGC